RNAcentral lists this unclassified non-coding RNA (297 nucleotides) under plant metagenome. Its description in RNAcentral is "partial contains small subunit ribosomal RNA, internal transcribed spacer 1, and 5.8S ribosomal RNA". The record is from RNAcentral.
UUUCCGUAGGUGGACCUGCGGAAGGAUCAUUAUUGAAUAAACUUGGUGGGUUGUUGCUGGCUUUUCGGAGCAUGUGCACACCCAACCCAUUGUUUUUCUCCACCUGUGCACCAUUUGUAGACUUGGAUACCUCUCGGGGGAAACCCCGGUUUGAGGAUUGCUGGCUUCUUCAGAGGUCGGCUUUCCUUGCAUUUCCAGUCUAUGUUUUCAUAUACACUAUAAUGUUAUAGAAUGUCUUUUAUGGGCUUCAUUGCCUUUAAACUUAUACAACUUUCAACAACGGAUCUCUUGGCUCUC